Molecule: long non-coding RNA, 411 nt
Organism: Erinaceus europaeus (western European hedgehog)
Lineage: Eukaryota; Metazoa; Chordata; Mammalia; Eulipotyphla; Erinaceidae
Exons: 2
Source: RefSeq, a predicted model, not a curated record
CUUUGUCUUACUUGGUAGGAAGCAGCCUUUUAUAAUUUCACUUUCCUGACUUCAUCCAGGAUUUACUGAACAAGAACUGCUGGAAGGGAAUCUGAAAAUCAGAUCUUCCUUGUACUUCAGCUUUGCUUCCGCUCUAGGCCCCAAGAUGCCAACACAAACAAGGAGGCCACCCUCAGGUUGCCAGGACAACAGGACAGAGGAAAUGGCAAAGACUCAGCUUUCCCAAAGGCGUAGCAGGCUAUGCUGACUUGCUUUCUCCUGAGGAACUCAAACCGUCCUUUCUAAAUGCCCACCCCCAAACUGUGCAGACUAGCAGAGACCCAGGCCCAAGCCACAUGCCGUGGUUUUACAGACUUGGGAGGAUAUGGAAUGGGUAGGAUGAGGAAUGGCCAAUAAAACUUUUCAUUCUGA